RNAcentral lists this ribosomal RNA (505 nucleotides) under uncultured bacterium. Its description in RNAcentral is "partial 16S ribosomal RNA". It matches the Rfam family "Bacterial small subunit ribosomal RNA", at positions 28 to 507 of the family's 1533-position model. The record is from RNAcentral.
GACGAACGCUGGCGGCGUGCCUAAUACAUGCAAGUAGAACGCACAGUUUAUACCGUAGCUUGCUACACCAUAGACUGUGAGUUGCGAACGGGUGAGUAACGCGUAGGUAACCUGCCUGGUAGCGGGGGAUAACUAUUGGAAACGAUAGCUAAUACCGCAUAAUAUUGAUUAUUGCAUGAUAAUUGAUUGAAAGAUGCUAUUGCAUCACUACCAGAUGGACCUGCGUUGUAUUAGCUAGUAGGUGAGGUAACGGCUCACCUAGGCGACGAUACAUAGCCGACCUGAGAGGGUGAUCGGCCACACUGGGACUGAGACACGGCCCAGACUCCUACGGGAGGCAGCAGUAGGGAAUCUUCGGCAAUGGACGAAAGUCUGACCGAGCAACGCCGCAUGAGUGAAGAAGGUUUUCGGAUCGUAAAGCUCUGUUGUAAGAGAAGAACGGGUGUGAGAGUGGAAAGUUCACACUGUGACGGUAUCUUACCAGAAAGGGACGGCUAACUACGUG